RNAcentral lists this ribosomal RNA (240 nucleotides) under uncultured bacterium. RNAcentral's name for it is "partial 16S ribosomal RNA". It matches the Rfam family "Bacterial small subunit ribosomal RNA", at positions 524 to 763 of the family's 1533-position model. The record is from RNAcentral.
UACGGAGGAUUCAAGCGUUAUCCGGAUUUAUUGGGUUUAAAGGGUGCGUAGGCGGUUUGAUAAGUUAGAGGUGAAAUCCCGGGGCUUAACUCCGGAACUGCCUCUAAUACUGUUAGACUAGAGAGUAGUUGCGGUAGGCGGAAUGUAUGGUGUAGCGGUGAAAUGCUUAGAGAUCAUACAGAACACCGAUUGCGAAGGCAGCUUACCAAACUAUAUCUGACGUUGAGGCACGAAAGCGUG